RNAcentral lists this ribosomal RNA (253 nucleotides) under uncultured bacterium. RNAcentral's name for it is "partial 16S ribosomal RNA". It matches the Rfam family "Bacterial small subunit ribosomal RNA", at positions 524 to 776 of the family's 1533-position model. The record is from RNAcentral.
UACGUAGGGUGCAAGCGUUAAUCGGAAUUACUGGGCGUAAAGCGUGCGUAGACGGUUAUUUAAGUCGGAUGUGAAAGCCCCGGGCUCAACCUGGGAAUUGCAUUCGAGACUGAAUAGCUAGGGUACGGUAGAGGGAAGCGGAAUUUCCGGUGUAGCGGUGAAAUGCGUAGAUAUCGGAAGGAACAUCAGUGGCGAAAGCGGCUUCCUGGACCAGUACCGACGUUCAGGCACGAAAGCGUGGGGAGCAAACAGG